Molecule: transfer RNA, 74 nt
Filed under: Candidatus Ozemibacter sibiricus
Lineage: Bacteria; Candidatus Rifleibacteriota; Candidatus Ozemibacteria; Candidatus Ozemibacteraceae
Also listed under: 2 other names
Description: Candidatus Ozemobacter sibiricus tRNA-Arg
Rfam family: tRNA
About the family: Transfer RNA (tRNA) molecules are approximately 80 nucleotides in length.
Source: RNAcentral
GCGCCUAUAGCUCAGGUGGAUAGAGCACAGGAUUCCUAAUCCUGGGGCCGCAGGUUCGAGUCCUGCUAGGCGCA